Molecule: ribosomal RNA, 440 nt
Filed under: uncultured bacterium
Lineage: Bacteria
Description: partial 16S ribosomal RNA
Rfam family: Bacterial small subunit ribosomal RNA
Source: RNAcentral
CCUACGGGUGGCAGCAGUGGGGGAUAUUGCACAAUGGGGGAAACCCUGAUGCAGCGACGCCGCGUGAGUGAAGAAGUAUUUCGGUAUGUAAAGCUCUAUUAGUAGGGAAGAAAAUGACAGUAUCUGACCAAGAAGCCCCGGCUAACUACGUGCCAGCAGCCGCGGUAAUACGUAGGGGGCAAGCGUUAUCCGGAUUUACUGGGCGUAAAGGGAGCGUAGACGGUUGUGUAAGUCUGGAGUGAAAGCCCGGGGCCCAACCCCAGGACUGCUUUGGAAACUGUGUAACUGGAGUACAGGAGGGGCAGGCGGAAUUCGUGGUGUAGCGGUGAAAUGCGUAGAUAUCAGGAGGAACACCGACUGCGAAGGCAGCCUGCUGGACUGCAACUGACGUUGAUGCUCGAAAGCGUGGGGAGCAAACAGGAUUAGAUACCCUUGUAGUC